GACGAACGCUGGCGGCGUGCCUAAUACAUGCAAGUAGAACGCUGAAGGAGGAGCUUGCUUCUCUGGAUGAGUUGCGAACGGGUGAGUAACGCGUAGGUAACCUGCCUGGUAGCGGGGGAUAACUAUUGGAAACGAUAGCUAAUACCGCAUAAUAGUAGAUGUUGCAUGACAUUUGCUUAAAAGGUGCAAUUGCAUCACUACCAGAUGGACCUGCGUUGUAUUAGCUAGUUGGUGGGGUAACGGCUCACCAAGGCGACGAUACAUAGCCGACCUGAGAGGGUGAUCGGCCACACUGGGACUGAGGCACGGCCCAGACUCCUACGGGAGGCAGCAGUAGGGAAUCUUCGGCAAUGGACGGAAGUCUGACCGAGCAACGCCGCGUGAGUGAAGAAGGUUUUCGGAUCGUAAAGCUCUGUUGUAAGAGAAGAACGAGUGUGAGAGUGGAAAGUUCACACUGUGACGGUAUCUGACCAGAAAGGGACGGCUAACUACGUG
RNAcentral lists this ribosomal RNA (495 nucleotides) under uncultured bacterium. Its description in RNAcentral is "partial 16S ribosomal RNA". It matches the Rfam family "Bacterial small subunit ribosomal RNA", at positions 28 to 507 of the family's 1533-position model. The record is from RNAcentral.